This 493-nucleotide ribosomal RNA is filed under the name uncultured bacterium. Its description in RNAcentral is "partial 16S ribosomal RNA". It matches the Rfam family "Bacterial small subunit ribosomal RNA", at positions 28 to 506 of the family's 1533-position model. The record is from RNAcentral.
GACGAACGCUGGCGGCGUGCUUAACACAUGCAAGUCGAACGGUGAAGCGCCUUCCUUUUUGGUGGGUGUGGAUGAGUGGCGAACGGGUGAGUAACACGUGAGUAACCUGCCCCCUUCUUCUGGAUAACCGCAUGAAAGUGUGGCUAAUACGGGAUAUUCUGGGUCUGUCGCAUGAUGGGUCUGGGAAAGAUAUUGUUUCGGUGGGGGAUGGGCUCGCGGCCUAUCAGCUUGUUGGUGGGGUGAUGGCCUACCAAGGCGGUGACGGGUAGCCGGCCUGAGAGGGUGGACGGUCACACUGGGACUGAGACACGGCCCAGACUCCUACGGGAGGCAGCAGUGGGGAAUAUUGAACAAUGGGCGCAAGCCUGAUGCAGCGACGCCGCGUGAGGGAUGGAGGCCUUCGGGUUGUGAACCUCUUUCGCCAGUGAAGCAGGCCUGCCUCGUUUGUGGGUGGGUUGACGGUAGCUGGAUAAGAAGCGCCGGCUAACUACGU